UUUGAAAUCUGGCGUCUUCGGCGUCCGAGUUGUAAUUUGUAGAGGAUGCUAUUGAGUUGUCACCGGUCUAAGUUCCUUGGAACAGGACGUCAUAGAGGGUGAGAAUCCCGUAUGUGACCGGCCAGACGCUCUCUGUAUAGCUCCUUCGACGAGUCGGGUUGUUUGGGAAUGCAGCCCUAAAUGGGAGGUAAAUUUCUUCUAAAGCUAAAUACCGGCCAGAGACCGAUAGCGCACAAGUAGAGUGAUCGAAAGAUGAAAAGCACUUUGGAAAGAGAGUUAAAAAGCACGUGAAAUUGUUGAAAGGGAAGCGCUUGCAAUCAGUCUCGACGGCGGCUGUUCGGCCUCUCUUCUGAGUGGUUUAUUCAGUCGCCGCCGGGCCAGCAUCAGUUCUGGCGGUCGGAUAAAGACGCGGGGAAUGUAGCUCCUCUCGGGGAGUGUUAUAGCCUCGCGUGCAAUACGGCCUGCCGGGACUGAGGUCCGCGCUUCGGCUAGGAUGCUGGCGAAAUGGUUGUAAGCGGCCCGUCUUGAAACACGGACCAAGGAGUCUAACAUCUAUGCGAGUGUUUGGGUGUCAAACCCGUACGCGUAAUGAAAGUGAACGGAGGUGGGAACCGCAAGGUGCACCAUCGACCGAUCCUGAUGUCUUCGGAUGGAUUUGAGUAAGAGCAUAGCU
This 673-nucleotide ribosomal RNA is filed under the name Elsinoe rosarum. Its description in RNAcentral is "eukaryotic LSU rRNA". It matches the Rfam family "Eukaryotic large subunit ribosomal RNA", at positions 114 to 807 of the family's 3401-position model. The record is from RNAcentral. Lineage: Eukaryota; Fungi; Ascomycota; Dothideomycetes; Myriangiales; Elsinoaceae.